AAGUACUUGAGGUUACCUUUUGGGUGAUUUGAUUCCAAAGGGGGAGAAUUGUGGAAUCAAAGCAAGAUCCUAUGAGAGCCUAUGUGUAAAACAUAGGGGGAGAAAUGUGCAUACAUUGGGGGAGAAUCAACAAAGAGGGAGAAUUACUUCAAGGGGGAGUCAAGUGAAGAUGAACAAGGGGGAGGUUGGAUCAUGGUAAGCAACCAAGCAAGUGUAAGUGGUUCAAUUAGUCAAUUUUUUCAAAUUUAUGCUUCCUUUGAUUGUGUUGUCAUAAAUCACCAAAAAGGGGGAGAUUGUAGCGAACAUGGCCUUGAUAAGCCAUUUGUUCAUGAUUUUGGUGAUUCAACGAGAACAUGAUCUUUGGUACUGACAAAGUGUUUGAGAACAUGCCUUAAAGGUAGUCUAGGUCCUAAGGAAGCUACCACAAUCAAAGACAACCAAAGACAAGCAAUGAACCGAAGAAAUCAAAGAAAACAACACCAUCGGAUGGUCCCUAGGAAGGUGUCGGAGUAAGCGUCGGUGUAAUUGGUAUGCUGUGGAGAAGACCAGGCAAAGUCAACCAUAGGACGAAUUCUGAAUGACAGGCUUAGAAGAUGGAGAAAACCCAAUAGUACCGGAUGAUCCGAUGGUAUGCAUAAGAGGAGUGUCAGACAAAACAUAUUUACUUUGAAAUCGUCCA
This 679-nucleotide long non-coding RNA is filed under the name Setaria viridis. RNAcentral's name for it is "long non-coding RNA (SVIR_LNC008807)". The record is from RNAcentral. Lineage: Eukaryota; Viridiplantae; Streptophyta; Magnoliopsida; Poales; Poaceae.